UGAAAACAUUAUUCCAAUUCAAGAAAAGAUCGUCAAACAUUAUUCCAAUCCAAGACAAGAUGGCUGCAGGAGGAACUGAAGCUUUUCCUGAUCUGGGUAGACAUUGUCAACAUUCAGAUUGCAAUCAACUUGAUUUCCUGCCUUUCAAAUGCCAAGGUUGUCAUAAGGUGUUUUGUCUAGAGCAUAGAUCCUACAAGUCCCAUGAUUGUCCUAAAUCAGAUCAUAAUAGCAGAAAAGUGGUGGUUUGUGAUAUUUGCUCCACGUCCAUUGAGACCACCGGAUGCCAUGAAGAUGAUGAGAAGUUGAUAUUGGAGAAACACGUCAAGUUUGGAAACUGCGACCCCCAAAAGAAGAAGAAACCUACCUGUGCCGUUAGGCGCUGCAAGGAGACUUUGACCUUCUCUAAUACAUGCAUUUGCAAAACUUGCCAAUUGAAGGUUUGUUUGAAGCAUCGUUUUCCAGCUGACCAUUCUUGUAAUAAGGCUUCGUCUGCCGCGGCUGCUGCUGCUAGUGGUGGGUGGUUUAAUAACAAGUUUCUGGGUGCUUUGGCUUCUAGGACGGGGAAAGAUUGUGCAAAAGAUCAGCCUUCAUCAAAACCCAAUAAUAAUACCUUAUCUGUCAAAGCAUUUUGAGGCUGACAACAAUACCCAUGCGAAUGUCUUAUGAACACAAGCAUUGUUAUGGCAUGAUUUGAUGUGACGUAAACAGUGCUUGCUUCCAAGAACAUCAAUGCUGGUGCCCCCAUUCUGUAAUUCUGUUCAAUUUAAUUGGAUUAUUUGGAAUUGAAUAAGACUUCUAAGUUUUUGUGAAAUGUGCUUUUCCACAAAAUAAAACUCUAAUACUUUUCAGACCCGGAGGAUAGAAACUUCAAAUGCCAACAUAAAUUUAUCAUCAUUGAAAUGCACUACAAUUGAAGGAUCUCCAAUCCCUAACAACAAUACAUUUGACUUGAUCAUCUCAUCCUGUUCAAC
Molecule: unclassified non-coding RNA, 971 nt
Filed under: Hevea brasiliensis (rubber tree)
Lineage: Eukaryota; Viridiplantae; Streptophyta; Magnoliopsida; Malpighiales; Euphorbiaceae
Source: RNAcentral